AGAGUUUGAUCAUGGCUCAGGAUGAACGCUAGCGGCAGGCCUUACACAUGCAAGUCGAGGGGUAACAGGAGAGAGCUUGCUCUUUCGCUGACGACCGGCGCACGGGUGCGUAACACGUAUGCAACCUACCUCUUACUGGGGGAUAGCCCAGAGAAAUUUGGAUUAACACCCCAUAGUAUCAUUCUUCCGCAUGGUUGAAUGAUUAAAGGUUACGGUAAGAGAUGGGCAUGCGCCUCAUUAGCUAGUUGGUGAGGUAACGGCUCACCAAGGCUACGAUGGGUAGGGGGUCUGAGAGGACUAUCCCCCACACUGGUAC
Molecule: ribosomal RNA, 316 nt
Filed under: uncultured bacterium
Lineage: Bacteria
Description: bacterial SSU rRNA
Rfam family: Bacterial small subunit ribosomal RNA
Source: RNAcentral